CUACAUUUUCUUCACUCCCACUGUUAAAGAGGAUCGAAGGCUGCUCCUUCGGGAAAUUGAGCAAACUCCCUCAUCUCCCUCUUUGUCUUAACAUCUCUCUACUCACACACACACAACGUCAUCUCUCUUCUAUGCAUUGUUGUCGCAGUCGGCUUUCCGGCAGCUUCCGUCGCCGGUUUCCGACAUGUCUUCCCUUUGAGUGAUAUUGACACGAGCAAAGAGAAGGUGGAAGAACAAAGUGAUCCAGGAAAGCAAUAUGGAUUUCGAGACUAGGUGAACCAGGCUAGCUCUUUCGUUUUAUAGCUGCACAAGCUGGGUCACUAGUCACUAGCCAAAGUUUUGCAUUUUGGGUAAUCCUUUUGGGGCUUGCUAAAUGUGGCACAUUUUGGAAGUGUAAUGAACUGUAGACGUUAACAUAACUUCCUAAUCUUUUGCUAAACUUGUAUAUUUUGCGAAUAGUACAGGUUGUGUGUAUGUAAAAAUGUAUAUAAUGAUUUUUGGAAACAGAUUGAUGAUUUAAGACUAGAUGUCAUAUAAUGUUUUUCUU
Molecule: long non-coding RNA, 547 nt
Organism: Salvia hispanica
Lineage: Eukaryota; Viridiplantae; Streptophyta; Magnoliopsida; Lamiales; Lamiaceae
Source: RefSeq, a predicted model, not a curated record